This 497-nucleotide ribosomal RNA is filed under the name uncultured bacterium. RNAcentral's name for it is "partial 16S ribosomal RNA". It matches the Rfam family "Bacterial small subunit ribosomal RNA", at positions 28 to 507 of the family's 1533-position model. The record is from RNAcentral.
GAUGAACGCUGGCGGCGUGCCUAAUACAUGCAAGUCGAGCGAACAGACGAGGAGCUUGCUCCUCUGACGUUAGUGGCGGACGGGUGAGUAACACGUGGAUAACCUACCUAUAAGACUGGGAUAACUUCGGGAAACCGGAGCUAAUACCGGAUAAUAUAUUGAACCGCAUGGUUCAAUAGUGAAAGACGGUUUUGCUGUCACUUAUAGAUGGAUCCGCGCCGCAUUAGCUAGUUGGUAAGGUAACGGCUUACCAAGGCAACGAUGCGUAGCCGACCUGAGAGGGUGAUCGGCCACACUGGAACUGAGACACGGUCCAGACUCCUACGGGAGGCAGCAGUAGGGAAUCUUCCGCAAUGGGCGAAAGCCUGACGGAGCAACGCCGCGUGAAUGAUGAAGGUCUUCGGAUCGUAAAACUCUGUUAUUAGGGAAGAACAAAUGUGUAAGUAACUAUGCACGUCUUGACGGUACCUAAUCAGAAAGCCACGGCUAACUACGUG